AAGCGCUCGUGACCAGACUUGUGCCGGGUUGAUCAUCCAGUGUUCUCACUGGUGCACUCUGCCCGGUUCAGGCCAGCAUCGGUUCUAGGGGGGGCAUAAAGGCCGCGGGAACGUAUCUCCUCGGAGUGUUAUAGCCCGUGGUGUAAUACCCCUCCAGGGACCGAGGAUCGCGCUCUGCAAGGAUGCUGGCGUAAUGGUCAUCGGCGA
This 207-nucleotide ribosomal RNA is filed under the name Orbiliales sp. RNAcentral's name for it is "partial large subunit ribosomal RNA". The record is from RNAcentral. Lineage: Eukaryota; Fungi; Ascomycota; Orbiliomycetes; Orbiliales.